This 253-nucleotide ribosomal RNA is filed under the name uncultured bacterium. RNAcentral's name for it is "partial 16S ribosomal RNA". It matches the Rfam family "Bacterial small subunit ribosomal RNA", at positions 524 to 776 of the family's 1533-position model. The record is from RNAcentral.
UACGAAGGGGGCUAGCGUUGCUCGGAAUCACUGGGCGUAAAGCGCACGUAGGCGGAUUCUUAAGUCAGGGGUGAAAUCCUGGAGCUCAACUCCAGAACUGCCUUUGAUACUGGGAAUCUCGAGUCCGGGAGAGGUGAGUGGAACUGCGAGUGUAGAGGUGAAAUUCGUAGAUAUUCGCAAGAACACCAGUGGCGAAGGCGGCUCGCUGGCCCGGUACUGACGCUGAGGUGCGAAAGCGUGGGGAGCAAACAGG